GUCGUAGAAAAACACUAAGUAAAACUACCCAAAUAAACUAUUAUAACUAGUAGUACAACAUAUAAUAGCAAAUCCGCACAUCAACAGAGAAAGAAAAAUAAUAAUGACAAAUGAUAAAAGGAAAUUAGCACGCAGAUUUAUGUUAAAUGGCUCAAUGAAAACUACAUACACAAAAAAGAAAAUAAAUCGACCAUAAAACAUGUUUCUUUUUCCUCCAGAUGCUAUCGCCUCCUUCCCACAUCUCCUUUUCAAUAGCUUUCUUGAUGAUUUCAAAGCCCCCUUCUUUUCAUUAUCAUUUAUAAAUUAACAUAGUUUUACCUAUAUUUUUUGUGGGCACCGGCUCCAUUCCAGUCCCCUUGGAAAUGAGCAAAAACAUUACAAAUAAGUCAAAAAACACAAGUUCC
Molecule: long non-coding RNA, 404 nt
Filed under: Olea europaea (common olive)
Lineage: Eukaryota; Viridiplantae; Streptophyta; Magnoliopsida; Lamiales; Oleaceae
Description: long non-coding RNA (OEUR_LNC006871)
Source: RNAcentral